Long non-coding RNA from Cannabis sativa, 913 nucleotides. RefSeq lists it as uncharacterized. NCBI's taxonomy places the organism in Eukaryota, Viridiplantae, Streptophyta, Magnoliopsida, Rosales, Cannabaceae. The record is from RefSeq and is a predicted model, not a curated record. The transcript has 3 exons.
AAAUUACAACGAAAGAAAAAGAAGCGGGAUUGUACCCGCCUUUAAUUAGUUUCUUUAUUUCCUUUAUUUUUUCAGCCAUUUUCAGCAAACUACAAUCUGGCUCCUCUUAUCCGAGCAUUUGUCUUGCUGCUGCAAGGAGCUUGUCGGCCUCCACCGCGCUAGAAGUUUUUCAUCUAAGGUAAGAUUUUUUUUCUACUGUUUUGUUUGUCCCUCACCCAUUUAUCUUUCCUGGGUAUUUUUUUUACUUUGUCAUGUAUUUCAAAUAUUUGAUUUUGUUUUUGUUUUCAUUUUUCAUAGAUUCACAUUUCAAAAUCUAACAAUUUGAUUUGGGUUUUCAUUUUUUUAGUUUUUGAGCUUUUGGGCUUUUGGAGUCUAAACAUCACUAGCAGCUAUGGAUCGAUAUAUGCAAUAUAGAUUGGCUGAACAAGAUGAAGAUAGUGUAGAAUCAUUUACAGAUUUGUUGACAAAUAAUAAUGACAAAAAGAAUGGUAGAGGUCCUACACAAAUGCGUGACAUUUGGGGAAAUCGUGAUGGUAAAAAGAUACAAAUCACAUGUAAUAAAUUUGGACAACCACAUGAUAAAAAUGCAAGUAGACUUGCAAACUUGAUUGGGACAUUAGUACGAGAUGGAAAAAAUGCUCCAAUUAACUAUGAAAAUUGGCAUAAAGUACCAGACAAAUACAAAGUUACAAUGUGGAGAAUCAUACAGGAAUAAUUUGAUAUUCCUUAUCUGGCAGAAAAUUGGACUAUGAGGACUUGUGGUAAGGAACUUAAAAAUUGGAAACAUUAUCUUAAGAAAACUUAUUAUUCAGAAACUUUAUCUUUUGAGGAGCAAAAAAAAUAUAAGGACAAAAGAGUAUAUGAUAAGCAAUGGGAGCAAUUAAUAAACUAUUGGGCAACAGAUGAUGCAAAG